CCUGAUGGUAAGCGAUUACCGUAGCUUAUAGACGCCUGCAACACCAGAAGCAUCGCAAGCGCGUUGUCAACCCAAUCCCCAAUCCCCCCAGGAGCUCUGGUCACCUUACUCACCAACAGGAACACAAUACUGCUUGAAAACAGUAUUAUUUUGCUGUGAUCUUCUGUAAGGUUGAGGUACUUCCCCAGUCGGGCUGCUCCAUAUUUUGAGCAAGAAAUUCCUGCUGUGCCCUACCUCAGUUAAG
RNAcentral lists this unclassified non-coding RNA (244 nucleotides) under Melitaea cinxia (Glanville fritillary). Its description in RNAcentral is "misc RNA ENSMCXG00005005158.1". Lineage: Eukaryota; Metazoa; Arthropoda; Insecta; Lepidoptera; Nymphalidae. The record is from RNAcentral.